AUUGAACGCUGGCGGCAGGCCUAACACAUGCAAGUCGAACGAGUGGCGGACGGGUGAGUAAUGUCUGGGCAACUGCCUGAUGGAGGGGGUUAACUACUGGACACGGUAGCUAAUACCGCAUACCAUCGGAUGUGCCCAGGUGGGAUUAGCUAGUAGUGGGGGUAAAGGCUCACCUAGGCGACGAUCCCUAGCUGGUCUGAGAGGAUGACAAGCCACACUGGAACUGAGACACGGUCCAGACUCCUACGGGAGGCAGCAGUGGGGAAUAUUGGACAAUGGGCGCAAGCCUGAUGCAGCCAUGCCGCGUGUGUGAAGAAGGCCUUCGGAUUGUAAAGUACUUUCAGUGGGGAGGCGUUACCCACAGAAGAAGCACCGGCUAACUCCGUGCCAGCAGCCGCGGUAAUUC
This 406-nucleotide ribosomal RNA is filed under the name uncultured bacterium. Its description in RNAcentral is "partial 16S ribosomal RNA". It matches the Rfam family "Bacterial small subunit ribosomal RNA", at positions 30 to 526 of the family's 1533-position model. The record is from RNAcentral.